Molecule: ribosomal RNA, 301 nt
Filed under: uncultured bacterium
Lineage: Bacteria
Description: partial 16S ribosomal RNA
Rfam family: Bacterial small subunit ribosomal RNA
Source: RNAcentral
CAGCACCGCGGUAAAACGUAGGUCCCGAGCGUUGUCCGGAUUUAUUGGGCGUAAAGGGAGCGCAGGCGGUUUAGUAAGUCUGAAGUUAAAGGCAUUGGCUCAACCAAUGUAUGCCUUGGAAACUGUUAGACUUGAGUGCAGAAGGGGAGAGUGGAAUUCCAUGUGUAGCGGUGAAAUGCGUAGAUAUAUGGAGGAACACCGGUGGCGAAAGCGGCUCUCUGGUCUGUCACUGACGCUGAGGCUCGAAAGCGUGGGUAGCGAACAGGAUUAGAUACCCGCGUAGUCCCUGUCUCUUAUACAC